Molecule: ribosomal RNA, 876 nt
Filed under: uncultured bacterium
Lineage: Bacteria
Description: bacterial SSU rRNA
Rfam family: Bacterial small subunit ribosomal RNA
Source: RNAcentral
UGGCUCAGGACGAACGCUUGCGGCGUGCCUAAGAAAUGCAAGUCGAGCGGGGGGUAGCAAUACCCCUAGCGGCGAACGGUCGCGUAACACGUAAGCAACCUGCCCCCAGGACCGGGACAAGCCUGCGAAAGCGGGUCUAAUACCGGAUGUGGCCGCUUUCUGGCAUCAGAGAGUGAUUAAACCGUGCGUUCACGCGUGCGGCCUGGGGAGGGGCUUGCGGCCUAUCAGCUAGUUGGUGGGGUAACGGCCUACCAAGGCGACGACGGGUAGCUGGUCUGAGAGGACGAUCAGCCGGACUGGGACUGAGAUACGGCCCAGACUCCUACGGGGGGCAGCAAUUAGGAAUCUUGCGCAAUGGGGGAAACCCUGACGCAGCGACGCCGCGUGGAGGAGGAAGUCCUUCGGGAUGUAAACUCCUUUUGCGAGGGAAGAAACGAAUGACGGUACCUCGCGAAUAAGCCCCGGCUAACUACGUGCCAGCAGCCGCGGUAAUACGUAGGGGGCGAGCGUUGUCCGAAGUUACUGGGCGUAAAGCGCGCGUAGGCGGGGGAGUAAGUGAGAGGUGAAAGGCUAGGGCUCAACCCGAGCAGUGCCUCUCAUACUGCUCUUCUUGAGGGCGGUAGGGAGAAGUGGAAUGGCUGGUGUAGCGGUGAAAUGCGUAGAUAUCAGUCGGAACACCGGUGGCGAAGGCGGCUUCUUGGGCCGUACCUGACGCUGAGGCGCGAAAGCCAGGGGAGCGAACGGGAUUAGAUACCCCGGUAGUCCUGGCCGUAAACGAUGGAUACUAGGUGUCGGGGGUAUCGACCCCUCCGGUGCCGCAGCUAACGCACUAAGUAUCCCGCCUGGGGAGUACGGCCCGCAGGUUGAAACUCAAAG